This 253-nucleotide ribosomal RNA is filed under the name uncultured bacterium. Its description in RNAcentral is "partial 16S ribosomal RNA". It matches the Rfam family "Bacterial small subunit ribosomal RNA", at positions 524 to 776 of the family's 1533-position model. The record is from RNAcentral.
UACGUAGGGUGCGAGCGUUGUCCGGAAUUAUUGGGCGUAAAGGGCUCGUAGGCGGUUUGUCGCGUCGGGAGUGAAAACCUUGGGCUUAACUCAGGGCUUGCUUUCGAUACGGGCAGACUAGAGGUAUGCAGGGGAGAACGGAAUUCCUGGUGUAGCGGUGAAAUGCGCAGAUAUCAGGAGGAACACCGGUGGCGAAGGCGGGUCUCUGGGCCGAAAUUGACGCUGAGGAGCGAAAGCGUGGGGAGCAAACAGG